This 421-nucleotide ribosomal RNA is filed under the name uncultured bacterium. RNAcentral's name for it is "partial 16S ribosomal RNA". It matches the Rfam family "Bacterial small subunit ribosomal RNA", at positions 361 to 774 of the family's 1533-position model. The record is from RNAcentral.
AUCUUCCGCAAUGGACGAAAGUCUGACGGAGCAACGCCGCGUGAGUGAUGAAGGUUUUNGGAUCGNANAACUCUGUUGUGAGGGANGCACAAGUAUCGGAGUCACUGCCGGUACCUUGACGGUACCUGACGAGAAAGCCACGGCUAACUACGUUCCAGCAGCCGCGGUAAUACGUAGGUGUCAAGCGUUUGCCGGAUUUUUUGGGCGUAAAGCGCGCACAGGCGUUCUUUUAAGUCUGAUGUGAGAUCCUACAGCUAAACUGUAAGCGGUCAUUGGAAACUGGGGGUAUUGAGUGCAGAAGAGGAGAGGAGAAUCCCAUGUGUAGCGGUGAAAUGCAUAGAGAUAAGGAGGAACAACAGUCGCGAAGGCGACUCUCUGGUCUGUAACUGACGCUGAGGCGCGAAAGCGUGGGGAUAAAACA